AAAAUUUACAGCAGCCAAAACUUUCUACAAACCUCCGAUUACUUCCCUGUUUUAAAGUUCAAUUAUUUCGAAUUGCAGCAGAAAAUGGUCAUUUUUAGGAAAUAAAGUUCGAACCAGUUGUCAUGUGUGAUAAUAUUGACAAGAAAUUCACUUUUCAAUCAAGCUAGUGAAGCUUGAAGAGGUGAUAUAAUAUGCUUUCAAAAAUUUCUAACGGCUGAAAGUCAACAACAAUUUCGUUAUUCCGAUGUUUCUUCUUUCCUGGAGUAUGUUCACGAUCGUCAGGUUAACUUAUUAUUGACUAAAUGGAUGAAUGAUUUGGAGAAGAUAUUUUACAAUAAUAUUGUUGCUGAAUAUUCUGCCAUGAUUCUUGAAGCUAAACAGGAUGAGUUCCAAAAUGUAGUAGGGAGUUAAUCUAUUGCUUAUCAAUGAUUGCUGCCCUCAAUAGUUUAUGUUGCUCGACAUGCGCUGCAUUGCAAUCCUUUUUGAAACGAGAUGUUGGAGCUGCAUAUUGAUCUUUUCAGAUUCUCAGCUACUAUAUUAUGCUAAAUUAAGUUGCUGGUUAGCUAUCACAUAGAGGCAGAUCACAAGUUAAAGGUGAUUUACAAGUAUUCAAGUUCUCAUAGAGAUGUUGCACUAAAACCUCCAGUCAUUUUUCGGUUGGCUUUUCAUGAAUACAUUAGUAGUGAAUUGCCUACUUUCAACUUAGAUUCUUUUUAGCCUUUAGUAUAUUUUGGAAUUACCAUAUAUCUGGUACUUAAAUUUUUUGCAUUCCAUUAUACAACCAUUAUUGUAGUAUCUUUUGUGAAUA
Long non-coding RNA from Capsicum annuum, 808 nucleotides. RefSeq lists it as uncharacterized. Lineage: Eukaryota; Viridiplantae; Streptophyta; Magnoliopsida; Solanales; Solanaceae. The transcript is spliced from 6 exons. The record is from RefSeq and is a predicted model, not a curated record.